RNA transcript from Glycine soja, 2181 nucleotides. It is a transcript of the gene named hexokinase-2-like, with no coding region annotated. The transcript is spliced from 5 exons. Lineage: Eukaryota; Viridiplantae; Streptophyta; Magnoliopsida; Fabales; Fabaceae. The record is from RefSeq and is a predicted model, not a curated record.
AGCAUCACCAAAGACAACUUUUUUUACUAUCUUCACCAAUGCAUGCUCUUGUUGGCAAUCUGAAGCUUAAACAAAACAGACUGCGGCGGUGUGUGCUGCAGUGGCGCUGGUGGCGCGCCACCACAUGAGAAGCUCCGGAAAGUGGGGUCGCGUGGUGGCUAUUAUGAAAGAGUUUGAGGAGCAGUGUGGGACCUCAAUUGCGAAGCUGAGACAUGUUGCUGAUGCCAUGAACGUUGAGAUGCAUGUAGGCCUUGCUUCUGAAGGUGACAACAAGCUCGAGAUGUUGAUCACUUAUGUUGAUAAUCUCCCUUCUGGGUUUGUUCAAUCAAUCACCUUUUUCCUUAGAAUUUGCUUUUUCUGUUUUAAUUUCACUCCGCAUAACUGGUUUUCAUGUUUUUGUUAUACUACAUGAUUCCUUAGUGAGUUUCUGCUUGGUUUUUCAUAUUAUCUCUGUGAAGUAAGGCCUUGUUUGAAGAAACUUCUCCUUAAUUAAGCACUUGUGGGAGAAGAAUGACUUAAUUUUUCUGUGUUUUUUUAAUUGAUGAAAAAGAAGUAGAUGAAUACUUUUGUCAUAUGAAUUUUAGUUCUUGAAGGUUUCUUCCCUCUCCGGCUCAUUCUUUACCUUGUUCCAUUGUUUAUACUUUAGUCUGAAAAAGUUUCCAUUCCUCCUCAUUUGAUGACUGGUUCUUCACAUGUAAGUCAGUUUUGAGAAAAUCUAUUAGAGUAAUGAGUAAUGAGCCUAACUGCUCUCUUAAAUAUAUUAAUUAUGAGAUUGCAGGAAUUAGUUGAUUUUAAAGCAGCUAAGCUCGCAAAGUUCGUUAGUUCUGAGCCUGAAGAGUUACACCCUCCCCCUGGCAGACAAAGGGAACUGGGUUUUACCUUCUCGUUUCCAGUGAGGCAAACAUCAAUUGCAUCUGGAAAUCUAAUAAAGUGGACUAAGAGUUUCAAUAUUGAGGAUAUGGUUGGAGAAGAUGUGGUGGGUGAGCUAACCAAGUCCUUCGAAAAAAUUGGUCUGGAUAAGCCUGUUGCCGCUCUAGGCAGUGUCACUUCUCUUUCUUUUUAACUUAUUUUCUUUUUCCCCUGAAUAUUUAUAUAGUAGAGUUGUCAUUAAAAAUCUUUUUCCUAGGAAUACACCACACAAUCUAUUAUAAAUCUUCUGUCAAUAUCAAUUAAAAUAUUAAUUCCAAACUAUAAAAAAAAACCCUAAAAAGCACGAAAAAGAGAAAAUACAAAAUCAAUCUCUGAUAUUAAUUUUACAUCAGGACAUCAAUUGAUUUGUCAAACAAAGUCAAUUUGUAGUUAUCAUUCUAUAGGAAAAAUUAAAACGCAUAAAACAUCCCAAAAUUAACCCUAAUUUGAUCCUAUUAGGAUCGUUAUACAUAUUCACUCUAACCUCAAUUGCAAUAAACUUAUCUCUUACCUCUAAGCGGGAUAACGUGUAUAGUCUGACAGCGAUAACAACAUCUCCAGUGAUUUUCCUAAGAAUCGUCAAACUUUUCCUUUGAUUGCACUGCUAGAAUUUCCAAACAUUAGAGAGAAGAAGAAGGAACUGAAGCCUCAAUUUUAUUAUCUUUGUGUCAGGGGCUUUUCUCUCUCUACAGGCAUUCGUUUGCAAAUCUUAACAAUGAAAAUGUGCAAAAAUGAGUUCUGAAGGUGGUGUACAAAUUUCAGGAUGAUCCAAUGAUUAAUUAGUCCAUGAUCGUAGUUUUAAGGAGACAAGUUUGGAUGUAUGCAGGAAAAGAAAAGAUUUUGGAAUAAGAAGAAGGGAGAACGGAUUUGAGAGCAGAAAAAUUGGAGUAGCAAGUUUAAAUUGGAAUCGCAAAGGUUUUUAAUAGUUAAAAAGUUAGCAGAAUCAACCUUAUUGAUCUUUGCUGGACAGGACAAGGGUAAAGUUGACAACGAAGGCAACCAACGUGUAAGGGAAAAUAGGCGUGUAAGAAAUGUUUUAAGGCGACCAAUAUCUUGCCACGGAUUACGAGAUUGUAUUUGAAUGAUCUACAUGAAUCAUUCUCUUAUUAGAAUUGUAUGGAAAAACCUAAUUUUGUUGUCAACGAGAGCAAAAACCAAUUGAUGUAAUAGACCGCAACCAAAUGCCCUACGGGGAACACAAACUUUGGUAUGAUCUACACAAUGACCCUCGUCCUACGAUUAACAAGAAAUUUCGGAAGUAAAGAUGCCAAA